Non-coding RNA from Paramuricea clavata, 211 nucleotides. The record is from the annotation of a GenBank genome assembly. NCBI's taxonomy places the organism in Eukaryota, Metazoa, Cnidaria, Anthozoa, Malacalcyonacea, Plexauridae.
CCCUCCCCCUGCCCUACUUUUAUUUUCACUCAGUUAUGUGCCACUAUGUUUCCACAUAAAUUUCUCAUGCUACCAAUUAUUUUUUUCUAUAGUUUUGCACGGAUGUGAAUGGUGCCAUGUUAACUGUGGAUGAAACCAAAUGGUUGUUAUAGUCAAAAUAUAAUAUGGUUAUAUUACUGUUCAUCUCAUGCAAAUGGAUAGGAGCUUCUGG